CCAGUGAAGAAAAGAGAAAUGUGAACAGGGAGCCCUCUGAGAAUCAAAUCCACCGGAAUGUCAACUAGUGAAGCUUCCCUGACCUGCUCUCGAGUUGCCAUAGGCAGGGGGAUGGGAAAUCGUGCCUCGCAGCUGCACCAAGGAAUUUACUCCUCAGUCAUAACAAGACACAUUCUGGCUGAGCAAAUCAAGGUUAUCUCUGUGGAUACCAGCAAUGCCUGGAGGGAGUGACUUCUACAAUACCGCGAAAUUACCUCGUUGGGGAAUGUGACCAAGUGACAGAUUUUGGAGGGAGAGGAGGAGGCAGAAACAGGGUUAGAGGCAAGGGGUGAAGGGGUGAAGUCAGAGUUGGCUUCACCUAGGUAAUGCUGACAUGGUGCUCCUAAUUAAAGACUGGAUUUUUAUUGCCA
Molecule: non-coding RNA, 410 nt
Organism: Pantherophis guttatus
Lineage: Eukaryota; Metazoa; Chordata; Lepidosauria; Squamata; Colubridae
Source: RefSeq, a predicted model, not a curated record